UAUCUUCAGGGCAGGGUGUGAAUCCCUACCGGCGGUAUAGCCCGCGAGCCGUAAGGCAUGAUUCGGUGAAACUCCGAGGCCGACAGUAUAGUCUGGAUGAAAGAAGGUA
This 109-nucleotide non-coding RNA is filed under the name uncultured Clostridium sp. RNAcentral's name for it is "FMN riboswitch (RFN element)". It matches the Rfam family "FMN riboswitch aptamer (RFN element)". Rfam says of the family: The RFN element is a highly conserved domain that is found frequently in the 5'-untranslated regions of prokaryotic mRNAs that encode for flavin mononucleotide (FMN) biosynthesis and transport proteins. This element is a metabolite-dependent riboswitch that directly binds FMN in the absence of proteins. In Bacillus subtilis, the riboswitch most likely controls gene expression by causing premature transcription termination within the 5' untranslated region of the ribDEAHT operon and precluding access to the ribosome-binding site of ypaA mRNA. Lineage: Bacteria; Bacillati; Bacillota; Clostridia; Eubacteriales; Clostridiaceae. The record is from RNAcentral.